RNAcentral lists this transfer RNA (73 nucleotides) under Stegodyphus mimosarum. It matches the Rfam family "tRNA". Rfam says of the family: Transfer RNA (tRNA) molecules are approximately 80 nucleotides in length. Lineage: Eukaryota; Metazoa; Arthropoda; Arachnida; Araneae; Eresidae. The record is from Rfam by way of RNAcentral.
CCUUUCGUGGUGUAGUGGGGAGCACGCUCGACGCGUAACCGAGAGGUCGGUGGUUCGACUCCCGGCGAAAGCG